RNAcentral lists this ribosomal RNA (2251 nucleotides) under Salmonella enterica. RNAcentral's name for it is "partial 23S ribosomal RNA". It matches the Rfam family "Bacterial large subunit ribosomal RNA", at positions 711 to 2925 of the family's 2925-position model. The record is from RNAcentral. RNAcentral also lists the same sequence under 1 other name. Lineage: Bacteria; Pseudomonadati; Pseudomonadota; Gammaproteobacteria; Enterobacterales; Enterobacteriaceae.
AGACCCGAAACCCGGUGAUCUAGCCAUGGGCAGGUUGAAGGUUGGGUAACACUAACUGGAGGACCGAACCGACUAAUGUUGAAAAAUUAGCGGAUGACCUGUGGCUGGGGGUGAAAGGCCAAUCAAACCGGGAGAUAGCUGGUUCUCCCCGAAAGCUAUUUAGGUAGCGCCUCGUGAAUUCAUCUCCGGGGGUAGAGCACUGUUUCGGCUAGGGGGCCAUCCCGGCUUACCAACCCGAUGCAAACUGCGAAUACCGGAGAAUGUUAUCACGGGAGACACACGGCGGGUGCUAACGUCCGUCGUGAAGAGGGAAACAACCCAGACCGCCAGCUAAGGUCCCAAAGUCAUGGUUAAGUGGGAAACGAUGUGGGAAGGCCCAGACAGCCAGGAUGUUGGCUUAGAAGCAGCCAUCAUUUAAAGAAAGCGUAAUAGCUCACUGGUCGAGUCGGCCUGCGCGGAAGAUGUAACGGGGCUAAACCAUGCACCGAAGCUGCGGCAGCGACACUCAGGUGUUGUUGGGUAGGGGAGCGUUCUGUAAGCCUGCGAAGGUGGCCUGUGAGGGUUGCUGGAGGUAUCAGAAGUGCGAAUGCUGACAUAAGUAACGAUAAAGCGGGUGAAAAGCCCGCUCGCCGGAAGACCAAGGGUUCCUGUCCAACGUUAAUCGGGGCAGGGUGAGUCGACCCCUAAGGCGAGGCCGAAAGGCGUAGUCGAUGGGAAACGGGUUAAUAUUCCCGUACUUGGUGUUACUGCGAAGGGGGGACGGAGAAGGCUAUGUUGGCCGGGCGACGGUUGUCCCGGUUUAAGCGUGUAGGUGUGUGUUCCAGGUAAAUCCGGUUCACUUUAACACUGAGGCGUGACGACGAGGCACUACGGUGCUGAAGCAACAAAUGCCCUGCUUCCAGGAAAAGCCUCUAAGCAUCAGGUAACAUCAAAUCGUACCCCAAACCGACACAGGUGGUCAGGUAGAGAAUACCAAGGCGCUUGAGAGAACUCGGGUGAAGGAACUAGGCAAAAUGGUGCCGUAACUUCGGGAGAAGGCACGCUGACACGUAGGUGAAGUGAUUUACUCAUGGAGCUGAAGUCAGUCGAAGAUACCAGCUGGCUGCAACUGUUUAUUAAAAACACAGCACUGUGCAAACACGAAAGUGGACGUAUACGGUGUGACGCCUGCCCGGUGCCGGAAGGUUAAUUGAUGGGGUCAGCGCAAGCGAAGCUCCUGAUCGAAGCCCCGGUAAACGGCGGCCGUAACUAUAACGGUCCUAAGGUAGCGAAAUUCCUUGUCGGGUAAGUUCCGACCUGCACGAAUGGCGUAAUGAUGGCCAGGCUGUCUCCACCCGAGACUCAGUGAAAUUGAACUCGCUGUGAAGAUGCAGUGUACCCGCGGCAAGACGGAAAGACCCCGUGAACCUUUACUAUAGCUUGACACUGAACAUUGAGCCUUGAUGUGUAGGAUAGGUGGGAGGCUUUGAAGUGUGGACGCCAGUCUGCAUGGAGCCGGCCUUGAAAUACCACCCUUUAAUGUUUGAUGUUCUAACGUGGACCCGUGAUCCGGGUUGCGGACAGUGUCUGGUGGGUAGUUUGACUGGGGCGGUCUCCUCCUAAAGAGUAACGGAGGAGCACGAAGGUUGGCUAAUCCUGGUCGGACAUCAGGAGGUUAGUGCAAUGGCAUAAGCCAGCUUGACUGCGAGCGUGACGGCGCGAGCAGGUGCGAAAGCAGGUCAUAGUGAUCCGGUGGUUCUGAAUGGAAGGGCCAUCGCUCAACGGAUAAAAGGUACUCCGGGGAUAACAGGCUGAUACCGCCCAAGAGUUCAUAUCGACGGCGGUGUUUGGCACCUCGAUGUCGGCUCAUCACAUCCUGGGGCUGAAGUAGGUCCCAAGGGUAUGGCUGUUCGCCAUUUAAAGUGGUACGCGAGCUGGGUUUAGAACGUCGUGAGACAGUUCGGUCCCUAUCUGCCGUGGGCGCUGGAGAACUGAGGGGGGCUGCUCCUAGUACGAGAGGACCGGAGUGGACGCAUCACUGGUGUUCGGGUUGUCAUGCCAAUGGCACUGCCCGGUAGCUAAAUGCGGAAGAGAUAAGUGCUGAAAGCAUCUAAGCACGAAACUUGCCCCGAGAUGAGUUCUCCCUGAGACUUAGAGUCUCCUGAAGGAACGUUGAAGACGACGACGUUGAUAGGCCGGGUGUGUAAGCGCAGCGAUGCGUUGAGCUAACCGGUACUAAUGAACCGUGAGGCUUAACCUUACAACGCCGAAG